RNAcentral lists this ribosomal RNA (452 nucleotides) under uncultured organism. RNAcentral describes it as "partial 16S ribosomal RNA". It matches the Rfam family "Bacterial small subunit ribosomal RNA", at positions 333 to 801 of the family's 1533-position model. The record is from RNAcentral.
ACACUCCUGCGGGAGGCAGCAGUGGGGAAUAUUGGACAAUGGGCGCAAGCCUGAUCCAGCCAUGCCGCGUGAGUGGUGAAGGCCCUAGGGUUGUAAAGCUCUUUCACCGGUGAAGAUAAUGACGGUAACCGGAGAAGAAGCCCCGACUAACUUCGUGCCAGCAGCCGCGGUAAUACGAAGGGGGCUAGCGUUGUUCGGAUUUACUGGGCGUAAAGCGCACGUAGGCGGACUAUUAAGUCAGGGGUGAAAUCCCGGGGCUCAACCCCGGAACUGCCUUUGAUACUGGUAGUCUUGAGUUCGAGAGAGGUGAGUGGAAUUCCGAGUGUAGAGGUGAAAUUCGUAGAUAUUCGGAGGAACACCAGUGGCGAAGGCGGCUCACUGGCUCGAUACUGACGCUGAGGUGCGAAAGCGUGGGGAGCAAACAGGAUUAGAAACCCUUGUAGUCCCAUGAU